CCUACGGGAGGCUGCAGUAGGGAAUCUUCCACAAUGGACGAAAGUCUGAUGGAGCAACGCCGCGUGAGUGAAGAAGGGUUUCGGCUCGUAAAGCUCUGUUGGCAGUGAAGAAAGAUAGAGGUAGUAACUGGCCUUUAUCUGACGGUAAUUAGUUAGAAAGUCACGGCUAACUACGUGCGAGCAGCCGCGGUAAUACGUAGGUGGCAAGAGUUGUCCGGAUUUAUUGGGCGUAAAGGGAGUGCAGGCGGUUGAAUAAGUCUGAUGUGAAAGCUUUCGGCUCAACCCGUGAAUUGCAUCAGAAACUGUUUAACUUGAGUGCAGAAGAGGAGAGUGGAACUCCAGGUGUAGCGGUGGAAUGCGUAGAUAUAUGGAAGAACACCAGUGGCGAAGGCGGCUCACUGGUCUGCAACUGACGCUGAGGCUCGAAAGCAUGGGUAGCGAACAGGAUUAGAUACCCGGGUAGUC
Molecule: ribosomal RNA, 465 nt
Filed under: uncultured bacterium
Lineage: Bacteria
Description: partial 16S ribosomal RNA
Rfam family: Bacterial small subunit ribosomal RNA
Source: RNAcentral